RNAcentral lists this transfer RNA (76 nucleotides) under Cervus elaphus hippelaphus. It matches the Rfam family "tRNA". From Rfam's summary of the family: Transfer RNA (tRNA) molecules are approximately 80 nucleotides in length. Their secondary structure includes four short double-helical elements and three loops (D, anti-codon, and T loops). RNAcentral also lists the same sequence under 1 other name. The record is from Rfam by way of RNAcentral. Lineage: Eukaryota; Metazoa; Chordata; Mammalia; Artiodactyla; Cervidae.
GUCUCUGUGGCACAAUCAGUUAGCGCAUUCAGCUUUUAACCAAAAGGUUGGUGGUUCUAAGUCCCUCCCAGGGAUG